Molecule: long non-coding RNA, 498 nt
Organism: Pygocentrus nattereri (red-bellied piranha)
Lineage: Eukaryota; Metazoa; Chordata; Actinopteri; Characiformes; Serrasalmidae
Source: Ensembl
AAAAAGAUCUCAACCAAGGCUUGGUGUUGUGGUGGGAACAAGGGUAUCUUCACAAAAGCUCAUGUAGAAUGUCACAUAUUGUAGUAUUGACAAUAAAGCUGACUUGACUUGAUCUGUCCCUUUUUUUCCUUCUUUUCUACAGAUGGUCUGGUUGUAUGGUUGCACAUAAAACUGUUCUUCUCUGGCUUCUGCUCUGAAAUCAAACCCAAAGAGAACUGGAUCUGACCUAUAAUCAAUCAGGAGAGUCUGGAAUGAAGCUGCUGUUUGGUCUACUGAAGGAUUUACACUGCACACUGGACAAACUACAGUCAAGUCUCUGCUUCGGUCUUCACGAACUGCCAGCAGAAAUUAACAGAGGCAAGAAAAACCUCAACAUUUCUGAUGUCAGAAUUGCUUGAUGUUGGUUUCAAGUCUUCUUCAGCUUUUUCCUACUUGGCUUAAAUGUGCUUCAGUAAACACAUUAGGACAUUCCACCAACAGGAAAGUAAAGCUGCUGAA